UCCCUGGAAGAUUAGUGUUUAGGCCACAGUGCUGUUACCACUGCAGCCUGGGUUCAAUUCCCGCCCAGAGAA
Molecule: transfer RNA, 72 nt
Filed under: Pangasianodon hypophthalmus (striped catfish)
Lineage: Eukaryota; Metazoa; Chordata; Actinopteri; Siluriformes; Pangasiidae
Rfam family: tRNA
About the family: Transfer RNA (tRNA) molecules are approximately 80 nucleotides in length.
Source: Rfam by way of RNAcentral